UCGAGAAUCUUCGGCAAUGCGCGAAAGCGUGACCGAGCGACGCCGCGUGUGGGAUGAAGGCCUUCGGGUUGUAAACCACUGUCAGUUGGGAGGAAGGCUCCGUGAAGAGCGGAGUUUGACCUAUCUUCAGAGGAAGUCCGGGCUAAGUUCGUGCCAGCAGCCGCGGUAAGACGAGCCGGACAAACGUUAUUCGGAAUCAUUGGGCUUAAAGGGUGCGUAGGCGGUGCGGUAAGUUGGGUGUGAAAUCCCUCGGCUCAACCGAGGAACUGCGCCCAAUACUGCCGUGCUUGAGGGAGACAGAGGUGAGCGGAACUGAUGGUGGAGCGGUGAAAUGCGUUGAUAUCAUCAGGAACACCAGUGGCGAAAGCGGCUCGCUGGGUCUCUUCUGACGCUGAGGCACGAAAGCUAGGGUAGCGAACAGGAUUAGAUACCCCGGUAGUCC
This 442-nucleotide ribosomal RNA is filed under the name uncultured prokaryote. Its description in RNAcentral is "bacterial SSU rRNA". It matches the Rfam family "Bacterial small subunit ribosomal RNA", at positions 355 to 796 of the family's 1533-position model. The record is from RNAcentral.